UAGAAUGAAGCUCGCUGGAUAGAGUUUUUAGCUGUUAACUAAGAUAUCGCGGGAUCAAAGCCCGUCAUUCUAG
Molecule: transfer RNA, 73 nt
Filed under: Craugastor lineatus (montane robber frog)
Lineage: Eukaryota; Metazoa; Chordata; Amphibia; Anura; Craugastoridae
Description: tRNA-Asx
Rfam family: tRNA
About the family: Transfer RNA (tRNA) molecules are approximately 80 nucleotides in length.
Source: RNAcentral